UGAAUAUAAACAAAGGACGAAUAUUUUUUGUCAAAAGAUAUUUUGCAUAAUCAGAGUUGAAAUAAACUUUUCUUAUCUUGUCCAUUGUUCUUUGGUGUGAGAAUAAAACUUGUCCAUCUCAUUUAUUCCUGCACCUGCAGCCCAUGUGUGGUGAGUUUUAAGUGGGACCUCCUGUUUUACAGAUGGGCUAGACAUAGUGUGCUUAUUAUGUAGUGCACAACCAGUAUUCUUUAAAAAUAAUUGCGUUUGUGUGGGCUAACGCUCUGAGGUAUGCUUUAACAGCUGCGAAUUUAAUAAGAACACAUUAAAGGUGGGAGAGGAGUAAGGAAUGAGAGGUAUGUUGGAAAAACUGUGCUUAUGAAAUAUGAAUGACUGUUUCUGCAUCUUCUUCAUCUUCAGCAGGCUUGAUACCGUCUCUGGUUUUGCAAUCCUUCCACUCAGCGCAAAAAAGGGAUGUACAGUCCAGCAGUCUUGUGAGUGGUUGGUGGGGUGGUGCACUGUAUACAGAUAGCUCUCCUGAACUUGUCAAACUCAGCUGAGCAAGUUAAAUAAUAAUAUAUGAAUCUAGUAAAAAAAAAGUAAGUUCAUUAAGUAAAGCUGAAUAUUUGAUAGCAUAGACUUGAAUCCUGUCUAUAAUACCAGAUGCAACACAAAUAUUAGGUAUAGGUAUAUGUAGUUAUAUAUGUCGGCUUAAUGUAGUAGCAUAAAUAAAAUAAAUUCUAGGUAUAAACGCAGUGCAGAUGCGCUCUUUAUCCUCGAUCUUGCAUUGCGUCAUGUAAUUGUGUUGCACAAGAAAAACUCUCACAAACCUGCAUAAUGCCUGCUGUAGUGUCCUCUUAACAGGCAAAUUUUAUUCAGCAUAAUCUUCUAUUGAUUGAGUACACUAUGGAACUUGGUCAUUUCACCGAUAUAGAUAAAGUCAUACUAUGCUAGACAUGAAAACAUUUGUAAGUCACUUGGUAAUAUAUGACUAGCAUUGUCAAGAGCAGUGGAAGAAUAUCUUAAAAACUUAUAUUGCAGUUGACAUUGUUGCUGAUACAGUUCUGUCAAUUAUUCAACUUUUUGAACCAUAAAACACUGUUAUGUUCCCUCGAAAUCCAGAAGGAUAUCUCUUUGUAUUUGUUAUGCAGAUCUUGGAUUUUUCCAGGCAAUUGUUAUGGACUACGUCCUACACUGAAAAAAUUGUCUAAGAGGGGUUGUUCAAAUUGCAAAAACAAAUUUGUCAACAAUAACAUGACUUUUUUACAUUUCUCUGUCCAGCAUGUUUAAAUCUUACAAAGGUUGCUUGAUUGUGGCCGAUGUGAGACCUGCAUGUUUUAAUCAGGUUGAGGAAACAUGACUUUAUUAUAAUUUCUGGUGAGGCUCCUCCCUCUGGAAUUCUCCUACCCAAAACUUUUGGAGGGAAAAUUCAAAUGUAACAGGACACAGGAGAGUUACAGGAGCAGAGGACACACAGUGGGGAGCAGGGGGAUUAUGAGAGCUGAUCUGGAGAGUCGUCUACAAAGAGUGACGUCCAGAGCUCUGCUGGAGCUGUGGGGAAGUUCAUGAAUGUUAUAGUUGAUGUUUCAGAAAAAAGGAAGAUGUUUGAGAACCAACAAAACACAGACCACAGAUGAACAAAGGUGAUGUGGCACUAGGAGACUUUAUACCAGAUGCCCUCCCUGUUACUGCGUUUAGAGGAAGAAAAGCAGCACAUGGCAGAGACCAGAGCGUCUUCACUGGAAUAAAUCUUCACACUGUCCAGCUCCAAAUUGUGUUUCUCUGUACUUGUGCU
This is a long non-coding RNA of Boleophthalmus pectinirostris (great blue-spotted mudskipper), 1774 nucleotides long. RefSeq lists it as uncharacterized. NCBI's taxonomy places the organism in Eukaryota, Metazoa, Chordata, Actinopteri, Gobiiformes, Gobiidae. The transcript is spliced from 4 exons. The record is from RefSeq and is a predicted model, not a curated record.